CAGAUAUUAGUUUAUUAAAAUAUUAAUUUUGGAGAUUAAUGAUACGAAUUUUUGUAUAUCUGA
Molecule: transfer RNA, 63 nt
Filed under: Isotes sp. REN-2018
Lineage: Eukaryota; Metazoa; Arthropoda; Insecta; Coleoptera; Chrysomelidae
Description: tRNA-Pro
Source: RNAcentral